This 253-nucleotide ribosomal RNA is filed under the name uncultured bacterium. RNAcentral's name for it is "partial 16S ribosomal RNA". It matches the Rfam family "Bacterial small subunit ribosomal RNA", at positions 524 to 776 of the family's 1533-position model. The record is from RNAcentral.
UACGUAGGGGGCAAGCGUUGUCCGGAAUCAUUGGGCGUAAAGCGCGUGUAGGCGGCUCGGUAAGUCCGCUCUGAAAGUCCAAGGCUCAACCUUGGGAUGCGGGUGGAUACUGCCGGGCUCGAGUCCGGAAGAGGCGAGUGGAAUUCCUGGUGUAGCGGUGAAAUGCGCAGAUAUCAGGAGGAACACCAAUGGCGAAGGCAGCUCGCUGGGACGUGACUGACGCUGAGACGCGAAAGCGUGGGGAGCGAACAGG